GGCAGUGGCGGCAUGCUUAACAUGCAGUCGAACGGCAGCACGGGUGCUUGCACCUGGUGGCGAGUGGCGAACGGGUGAGUAAUACAUCGGAACAUGUCCUGUAGUGGGGGAUAGCCCGGCGAAAGCCGGAUUAAUACCGCAUACGAUCUAAGGAUGAAAGCGGGGGACCUUCGGGCCUCGCGCUAUAGGGUUGGCCGAUGGCUGAUUAGCUAGUUGGUGGGGUAAAGGCCUACCAAGGCGACGAUCAGUAGCUGGUCUGAGAGGACGACCAGCCACACUGGGACUGAGACACGGCCCAGACUCCUACGGGAGGCAGCAGUGGGGAAUUUUGGACAAUGGGCGAAAGCCUGAUCCAGCAAUGCCGCGUGUGUGAAGAAGGCCUUCGGGUUGUAAAGCACUUUUGUCCGGAAAGAAAUCCCUGGUCCUAAUAUGGCCGGGGGAUGACGGUACCGGAAGAAUAAGCACCGGCUAACUACGUGCCAGCAGCCGCGGUAAUACGUAGGGUGCGAGCGUUAAUCGGAAUUACUGGGCGUAAAGCGUGCGCAGGCGGUUUGUUAAGACCGAUGUGAAAUCCCCGGGCUCAACCUGGGAACUGCAUUGGUGACUGGCAAGCUAGAGUAUGGCAGAGGGGGGUAGAAUUCCACGUGUAGCAGUGAAAUGCGUAGAGAUGUGGAGGAAUACCGAUGGCGAAGGCAGCCCCCUGGGCCAAUACUGACGCUCAUGCACGAAAGCGUGGGGAGCAAACAGGA
Molecule: ribosomal RNA, 749 nt
Filed under: bacterium
Lineage: Bacteria
Description: bacterial SSU rRNA
Rfam family: Bacterial small subunit ribosomal RNA
Source: RNAcentral